GGAGAGGUGUCCGAGAGGCCGAAGGAGCACGAUUGGAAAUCGUGUAGGCGGUUACCACCGUCUCGAGGGUUCGAAUCCCUCCCUCUCCG
This 89-nucleotide transfer RNA is filed under the name Kroppenstedtia eburnea. RNAcentral describes it as "Thermoactinomycetaceae bacterium JFMB-ATE tRNA". It matches the Rfam family "tRNA". Rfam says of the family: Transfer RNA (tRNA) molecules are approximately 80 nucleotides in length. Their secondary structure includes four short double-helical elements and three loops (D, anti-codon, and T loops). Lineage: Bacteria; Bacillati; Bacillota; Bacilli; Caryophanales; Thermoactinomycetaceae. The record is from Rfam by way of RNAcentral. RNAcentral also lists the same sequence under 1 other name.